GUAAAGACUGUGAAGGGAAGAGUAGGCUUAAGAGAAGGUUAAAGCGAGCCAGUGGUGGUGGGAGACUGGUACUGGACUUAAGCUGAAGAACAUCCCGGAGUCUCUUACCGAAAUCUAAUGAGAGUAGACUAAGACGUCUGUGGAACGUUAUAUCCACUAAAGGUGGCCUGUAUAGGCAAUUUGGGUGGUACCGCGAAGAUUAGCUCUUCGUCCCAUUU
Molecule: non-coding RNA, 218 nt
Filed under: Thermobrachium celere
Lineage: Bacteria; Bacillati; Bacillota; Clostridia; Eubacteriales; Clostridiaceae
Description: T-box sequence
Rfam family: T-box leader
About the family: Uncharged tRNA acts as the effector for transcription antitermination of genes in the T-box leader family. T-boxes are found upstream of many aminoacyl-tRNA synthetase genes and some amino acid biosynthetic genes usually in Gram-positive bacteria. The anticodon of a specific tRNA base pairs to a specifier sequence within the T-box motif, and the NCCA acceptor tail of the tRNA base pairs to a conserved bulge in the T-box antiterminator hairpin.
Source: RNAcentral